RNAcentral lists this ribosomal RNA (395 nucleotides) under uncultured bacterium. RNAcentral's name for it is "bacterial SSU rRNA". It matches the Rfam family "Bacterial small subunit ribosomal RNA", at positions 505 to 898 of the family's 1533-position model. The record is from RNAcentral.
GUGCCAGCCGCCGCGGUAAGACGAACCGCACAAACGUUAUUCGGAAUCACUGGGCUUAAAGGGUGCGUAGGCGGUCCGGAAAGUUGGGUGUGAAAUCCCUCGGCUCAACCGAGGAACUGCGCUCAAAACUACCGGACUUGAGGGAGACAGAGGUGAGCGGAACUUAGGGUGGAGCGGUGAAAUGCGUUGAUAUCCUGAGGAACACCAGUUGCGAAGGCGGCUCACUGGGUCUUUUCUGACGCUGAGGCACGAAAGCUAGGGGAGCGAACGGGAUUAGAUACCCCGGUAGUCCUAGCCGUAAACGAUGAGCACUUGGUCGGAGAAUCCUCCAUAGUUUUCCGGCCGUAGCGAAAGUGUUAAGUGCUCCGCCUGGGGAGUAUGGUCGCAAGGCUGAA